RNAcentral lists this ribosomal RNA (301 nucleotides) under uncultured bacterium. RNAcentral's name for it is "partial 16S ribosomal RNA". It matches the Rfam family "Bacterial small subunit ribosomal RNA", at positions 509 to 808 of the family's 1533-position model. The record is from RNAcentral.
CAGUCGCCACGGUAAUACGUAGGUCCCGAGCGUUGUCCGGAUUUAUUGGGCGUAAAGCGAGCGCAGGCGGUUAGAUAAGUCUGAAGUUAAAGGCUGUGGCUUAACCAUAGUACGCUUUGGAAACUGUUUAACUUGAGUGCAAGAGGGGAGAGUGGAAUUCCAUGUGUGGCGGUGAAAUGCGUAGAUAUAUGGAGGAACACCGGUGGCGAAAGCGGCUCUCUGGCUUGUAACUGACGCUGAGGCUCGAAAGCGUGGGGAGCAAACAGGAUUAGAUACCCCCGUAGUCCCUGUCUCUUAUACA